GAUGAACGCUGGCGGCGUGCCUAACACAUGCAAGUCGAGCGAACCCUUCGGGGUGAGCGGCGGACGGGUGAGUAACGCGUGGGUAACCUGCCCUAUACACACGGAUAACGUACCGAAAGGUACGCUAAUACGAGAUAACAUAUUUUUAUCGCAUGGUAAAAAAUAUCAAAAGCUCCGGCGGUAUAGGAUGGACCCGCGUCUGAUUAGCUAGUUGGUAAGGUAAUGGCUUACCAAGGCGACGAUCAGUAGCCGACCUGAGAGGGUGAUCGGCCACAUUGGAACUGAGACACGGUCCAAACUCCUACGGGAGGCAGCAGUGGGGAAUAUUGCACAAUGGGCGAAAGCCUGAUGCAGCAACGCCGCGUGAAGGAAGAAGGUCUUCGGAUCGUAAACUUCUGUCCUUAGGGAAGAUAAUGACGGUACCUUGGAGGAAGCCCCGGCUAACUACGUG
RNAcentral lists this ribosomal RNA (451 nucleotides) under uncultured bacterium. Its description in RNAcentral is "bacterial SSU rRNA". It matches the Rfam family "Bacterial small subunit ribosomal RNA", at positions 28 to 507 of the family's 1533-position model. The record is from RNAcentral.